Molecule: ribosomal RNA, 484 nt
Filed under: Melarhaphe neritoides
Lineage: Eukaryota; Metazoa; Mollusca; Gastropoda; Littorinimorpha; Littorinidae
Description: partial 16S ribosomal RNA
Rfam family: Bacterial large subunit ribosomal RNA
Source: RNAcentral
CGCUCCUUGAUUUUAAUUGAUAAGGAGUCGGACCUGCCCAGUGAUAAGUAUUUAACGGCCGCGGUACUCUGACCGUGCAAAGGUAGCAUAAUCAUUUGCCCUAUAAUUGAGGGCUAGUAUGAAUGGUUUGACAAGAACAAUACUGUCUCUUUCAAAANUUUCUAGAAUUUAUUCUUUAGGUGAAGAAACCUAAAUAAAAUUAAAAGACAAGAAGACCCUAUCGAGCUUAAACUCUUUUUAUAAAAUAAAAAAAAUUAAUAAUAUUUUUUGUUAUAAAAAAUUUUGGUUGGGGCGACUAAGGAACAAAAAAAGCUUCUUUAUUUAAUAAAGACAAAUAUGUAUUGAUCCAUAAAANUCUUGAUUAAAAGAAUUAGUUACCGUAGGGAUAACAGCAUAAUCUUUUUUAAGAGUUCUUAUCGAAAAAAAGGUUUGUGACCUCGAUGUUGGACUAAAAUUUCCUAAUAGAUGCAGACGUCUUUAAGGG